UAAUACAUGCAAGUCGAACGCGUUGGCCCAAUUGAUUGAUGGUGCUUGCACCUGAUUGAUUUUGGUCGCCAACGAGUGGCGGACGGGUGAGUAACACGUAGGUAACCUGCCCAGAAGCGGGGGACAACAUUUGGAAACAGAUGCUAAUACCGCAUAACAGCGUUGUUCGCAUGAACAACGCUUAAAAGAUGGCUUCUCGCUAUCACUUCUGGAUGGACCUGCGGUGCAUUAGCUUGUUGGUGGGGUAACGGCCUACCAAGGCGAUGAUGCAUAGCCGAGUUGAGAGACUGAUCGGCCACAAUGGGACUGAGACACGGCCCAUACUCCUACGGGAGGCAGCAGUAGGGAAUCUUCCACAAUGGGCGCAAGCCUGAUGGAGCAACACCGCGUGAGUGAAGAAGGGUUUCGGCUCGUAAAGCUCUGUUGUUAAAGAAGAACACGUAUGAGAGUAACUGUUCAUACGUUGACGGUAUUUAACCAGAAAGUCACGGCUAACUACGUGCCAGCAGCCGCGGUAAUACGUAGGUGGCAAGCGUUAUCCGGAUUUAUUGGGCGUAAAGAGAGUGCAGGCGGUUUUCUAAGUCUGAUGUGAAAGCCUUCGGCUUAACCGGAGAAGUGCAUCGGAAACUGGAUAACUUGAGUGCAGAAGAGGGUAGUGGAACUCCAUGUGUAGCGGUGGAAUGCGUAGAUAUAUGGAAGAACACCAGUGGCGAAGGCGGCUACCUGGUCUGCAACUGACGCUGAGACUCGAAAGCAUGGGUAGCGAACAGGAUUAGAUACCCUGGUAGUCCAUGCCGUAAACGAUGAGUGCUAGGUGUUGGAGGGUUUCCGCCCUUCAGUGCCGGAGCUAACGCAUUAAGCACUCCGCCUGGGGAGUACGACCGCAAGGUUGAAACUCAAAGGAAUUGACGGGGGCCCGCACAAGCGGUGGAGCAUGUGGUUUAAUUCGAAGCUACGCGAAGAACCUUACCAGGUCUUGACAUCUUGCGCCAACCCUAGAGAUAGGGCGUUUCCUUCGGGAACGCAAUGACAGGUGGUGCAUGGUCGUCGUCAGCUCGUGUCGUGAGAUGUUGGGUUAAGUCCCGCAACGAGCGCAACCCUUGUUACUAGUUGCCAGCAUUAAGUUGGGCACUCUAGUGAGACUGCCGGUGACAAACCGGAGGAAGGUGGGGACGACGUCAGAUCAUCAUGCCCCUUAUGACCUGGGCUACACACGUGCUACAAUGGACGGUACAACGAGUCGCGAACUCGCGAGGGCAAGCAAAUCUCUUAAAACCGUUCUCAGUUCGGACUGCAGGCUGCAACUCGCCUGCACGAAGUCGGAAUCGCUAGUAAUCGCGGAUCAGCAUGCCGCGGUGAAUACGUUCCCGGGCCUUGUACACACCGCCCGUCACACCAUGAGAGUUUGUAACACCCAAAGUCGGUGGGG
Molecule: ribosomal RNA, 1429 nt
Filed under: Limosilactobacillus fermentum
Lineage: Bacteria; Bacillati; Bacillota; Bacilli; Lactobacillales; Lactobacillaceae
Description: bacterial SSU rRNA
Rfam family: Bacterial small subunit ribosomal RNA
Source: RNAcentral